UACGUAGGGGGCAAGCGUUAUCCGGAUUUACUGGGUGUAAAGGGAGCGCAGGCGGCAGGGCAAGUCAGAUGUGAAAUCCCGGGGCCCAACCCCGGAACUGCAUUUGAAACUGUCCGGCUUGAGUACAGGAGAGGCAGGCGGAAUUCCUAGUGUAGCGGUGAAAUGCGUAGAUAUUAGGAGGAACACCAGUGGCGAAGGCGGCCUGCUGGACUGUAACUGACGCUGAGGCUCGAAAGCGUGGGGAGCAAAC
This 250-nucleotide ribosomal RNA is filed under the name uncultured prokaryote. Its description in RNAcentral is "partial 16S ribosomal RNA". It matches the Rfam family "Bacterial small subunit ribosomal RNA", at positions 524 to 773 of the family's 1533-position model. The record is from RNAcentral.